Molecule: ribosomal RNA, 1346 nt
Filed under: uncultured bacterium
Lineage: Bacteria
Description: partial 16S ribosomal RNA
Rfam family: Bacterial small subunit ribosomal RNA
Source: RNAcentral
GACGAACGCUGGCGGCGUGCUUAACACAUGCAAGUCGAACGGAAAGGCCCUGCUUUUGUGGGGUGCUCGAAUGGCGAACGGGUGAGUAACACGUGAGUAACCUGCCCUUGACUUUGGGAUAACUUCAGGAAACUGGGGCUAAUACCGGAUAGGAGCUCCUGCUGCAUGGUGGGGGUUGGAAAGUUUCGGCGGUUGGGGAUGGACUCGCGGCUUAUCAGCUUGUUGGUGGGGUAGUGGCUUACCAAGGCUUUGACGGGUAGCCGGCCUGAGAGGGUGACCGGCCACAUUGGGACUGAGAUACGGCCCAGACUCCUACGGGAGGCAGCAGUGGGGAAUAUUGCACAAUGGGCGGAAGCCUGAUGCAGCAACGCCGCGUGCGGGAUGACGGCCUUCGGGUUGUAAACCGCUUUCGCCUGUGACGAAGCGUGAGUGACGGUAAUGGGUAAAGAAGCACCGGCUAACUACGUGCCAGCAGCCGCGGUGAUACGUAGGGUGCGAGCGUUGUCCGGAUUUAUUGGGCGUAAAGGGCUCGUAGGUGGUUGAUCGCGUCGGAAGUGUAAUCUUGGGGCUUAACCCUGAGCGUGCUUUCGAUACGGGUUGACUUGAGGAAGGUAGGGGAGAAUGGAAUUCCUGGUGGAGCGGUGGAAUGCGCAGAUAUCAGGAGGAACACCAGUGGCGAAGGCGGUUCUCUGGGCCUUUCCUGACGCUGAGGAGCGAAAGCGUGGGGAGCGAACAGGCUUAGAUACCCUGGUAGUCCACGCUGUAAACGGUGGGUACUAGGUGUGGGGUCCAUUCCACGGGUUCCGUGCCGUAGCUAACGCUUUAAGUACCCCGCCUGGGGAGUACGGCCGCAAGGCUAAAACUCAAAGGAAUUGACGGGGCCCCGCACAAGCGGCGGAGCAUGCGGAUUAAUUCGAUGCAACGCGUAGAACCUUACCUGGGUUUGACAUGGAUCGGGAGUGCUCAGAGAUGGGUGUGCCUCUUUUGGGGUCGGUUCACAGGUGGUGCAUGCCUGUCGUCAGCUCGUGUCGUGAGAUGUUGGGUUAAGUCCCGCAACGAGCGCAACCCUUGUUCACUGUUGCCAGCACGUUAUGGUGGGGACUCAGUGGAGACCGCCGGGGUCAACUCGGAGGAAGGUGGGGAUGACGUCAAGUCAUCAUGCCCCUUAUGUCCAGGGCUUCACGCAUGCUACAAUGGCUGGUACAGAGAGUGGCGAGCCUGUGAGGGUGAGCGAAUCUCGGAAAGCCGGUCUCAGUUCGGAUUGGGGUCUGCAACUCGACCUCAUGAAGUCGGAGUCGCUAGUAAUCGCAGAUCAGCAACGCUGCGGUGAAUACGUUCCCGGGGCU